GAUGUAAAAAGACACAGUUCACAUGUCUUCCUGUGGACAGCGGGACAGAAACCUCGACCUGAAGGGAGAAUUAGAGAAGAAGUGAACAUUAAACAGGAGCCUCAUGAAUCCAGUGGUGCAUCUUCACUAAAACCCGAAUGUCUAAAAACACUCUGCUUUGCUCGCCUGCAACCAGCGUGAAACCCCUCAAUCGUUAUUUCCUGAACAACACGCUCAUGUUCCUUUUGGAUUAAACUUGCUUUCCCGUCUGUUUAGGAAACGGCACGUUGAUCGGCGCUUCGGCCAACGUCGUGUGCGCGGGCAUCGCCGAGCAGCACGGCUACGGCUUCUCCUUCAUCGAGUUCUUCAGGUUAGGAUUCCCCAUGAUGAUCAUGACCUGCAUGAUCGGCAUGUGCUACCUGCUGGCCACCCACAUCGGACUCGGCUGGAACAUGUGAUCCAUGCAAAGAGACAUUUGGCUCGCUGUGAUUCACCCGAUGGAGCGAUCAGAUGACGGGCGCUUAAUGGUGCACGGCGGCCAUAAUCACAGCAGGGACCAGAGCAACGGGAGCUUUGACCAGAAUUCUGAACCCUACGUGCAGAAAUUCAAAGUCACAAAUUCUCUUUUUGUCCUCACAAAAGUUGAUCCAAGGGACGUCCCCCAGGAAAGGUCCCAGUCCGUAACGCUGCUCAUGGUGCUACUGGUGCCUCUACUGGUGUAACUGGUGUUAUUCCAGGUAGUUCCUCUGGUGUCACAAUCAUUUCCGUUUACAAAUGUUUUCCUGAUGAAUUGUAUGACUCUGACUUGCUUUUAGAGACACUGAGGACACCGAUGACUCACAAACAUUUCCCUCACUGUGAUAUUUCAAAGGAACCGUUAAUACCCAGUGAAAGGGAUUUCAUCUUUAAAUGUUAGUGUGCUCGAGAUUCCCAAAUUUUAACGUGAAUGAAAAGCGGAGAUCAAACUGGAGCGUUGGCGGAGUGAUUCAAUAAGACGGACGUAGACUGUUAUAAAGGUAUUAUAUCAACAAUUGUACUAUGUACACGAUGAUGGCAUGUAAACUCAAUGAUUUUAGUCUACCACAUUUAAUGUAGAAGAUGCUGAGACAUGGAAUGGAUUAAUAUCACCUGUAUUUAUUGUACAUUUAUGAUUCACGUUUGAGACCAACACGAACAAUAAAGGUUGUGAUGUUUCUGCUUUUCA
Gasterosteus aculeatus aculeatus (three-spined stickleback) is the source of this 1183-nucleotide non-coding RNA. Lineage: Eukaryota; Metazoa; Chordata; Actinopteri; Perciformes; Gasterosteidae. The record is from RefSeq and is a predicted model, not a curated record.